UACGUAGGUCCCGAGCGUUGUCCGGAUUUAUUGGGCGUAAAGCGAGCGCAGGUGGUUUAAUAAGUCUGAUGUAAAAGGCAGUGGCUCAACCAUUGUGUGCAUUGGAAACUGUUAGACUUGAGUGCAGUAGAGGAGAGUGGAAUUCCAUGUGUAGCGGUGAAAUGCGUAGAUAUAUGGAGGAACACCGGUGGCGAAAGCGGCUCUCUGGACUGUAACUGACACUGAGGCGCGAAAGUGUGGGGAGCAAACAGG
Molecule: ribosomal RNA, 252 nt
Filed under: uncultured microorganism
Description: partial 16S ribosomal RNA
Rfam family: Bacterial small subunit ribosomal RNA
Source: RNAcentral